This 458-nucleotide ribosomal RNA is filed under the name uncultured Sphingobacteriales bacterium. RNAcentral describes it as "bacterial SSU rRNA". It matches the Rfam family "Bacterial small subunit ribosomal RNA", at positions 918 to 1382 of the family's 1533-position model. Lineage: Bacteria; Pseudomonadati; Bacteroidota; Sphingobacteriia; Sphingobacteriales. The record is from RNAcentral.
GGCGACAAGACGGAGGAGCAUGUGGUUAAUUCGAUGAUACGCGAGGAACUUACCUGGGCUCGAACGUAAGAUGACUGUAGGUGAAAGCUACAUCUCUUCGGAGCAUUUUACGAGGUGCUGCAUGGUUGUCGUCAGCUCGUGCCGUGAGGUGUCGGGUUAAGUCCCAUAACGAGCGCAACCCCUACCUUUAGUUGCCAUCAGGUAAUGCUGGGGACUCUAAAGGAACUGCCUACGCAAGUAGUGAGGAAGCGGGGAUGACGUCAAAUCAGCACGGCCCUUACGUCCAGGGCUACACACGUGCUACAAUGGCCGAUACAGAGGGCAGCUACCUGGUGACAGGAUGCAAAUCUCCAAAGUCGGUCUCAGUUCGGAUCGGAGUCUGCAACCCGACUCCGUGAAGUUGGAUUCGCUAGUAAUCGCGCAUCAGCCAUGGCGCGGUGAAUACGUUCCCGGGCCUU